Molecule: ribosomal RNA, 600 nt
Filed under: Debaryomyces hansenii
Lineage: Eukaryota; Fungi; Ascomycota; Pichiomycetes; Serinales; Debaryomycetaceae
Description: eukaryotic LSU rRNA
Rfam family: 5.8S ribosomal RNA (bases 211-364)
Source: RNAcentral
AAGGAUCAUUACAGUAUUCUUUUUGCCAGCGCUUAAUUGCGCGGCGAAAAAACCUUACACACAGUGUUUUUUGUUAUUACAAGAACUUUUGCUUUGGUCUGGACUAGAAAUAGUUUGGGCCAGAGGUUUACUGAACUAAACUUCAAUAUUUAUAUUGAAUUGUUAUUUAUUUAAUUGUCAAUUUGUUGAUUAAAUUCAAAAAAUCUUCAAAACUUUCAACAACGGAUCUCUUGGUUCUCGCAUCGAUGAAGAACGCAGCGAAAUGCGAUAAGUAAUAUGAAUUGCAGAUUUUCGUGAAUCAUCGAAUCUUUGAACGCACAUUGCGCCCUCUGGUAUUCCAGAGGGCAUGCCUGUUUGAGCGUCAUUUCUCUCUCAAACCUUCGGGUUUGGUAUUGAGUGAUACUCUUAGUUGAACUAGGCGUUUGCUUGAAAUGUAUUGGCAUGAGUGGUACUGGAUAGUGCUAUAUGACUUUCAAUGUAUUAGGUUUAUCCAACUCGUUGAAUAGUUUAAUGGUAUAUUUCUCGGUAUUCUAGGCUCGGCCUUACAAUAUAACAAACAAGUUUGACCUCAAAUCAGGUAGGAUUACCCGCUGAACUUAA